This 943-nucleotide long non-coding RNA is filed under the name Gossypium barbadense (sea-island cotton). RNAcentral's name for it is "long non-coding RNA (GBAR_LNC001421)". Lineage: Eukaryota; Viridiplantae; Streptophyta; Magnoliopsida; Malvales; Malvaceae. The record is from RNAcentral.
AAAAAAUGAAAGUCCCCCCUCCUUUUUCUCUCAAAGCCUUCUUCACCUGGCCUUGGGAGUUGUCGAGCUUCGUCGCGUCGACCGCCUUUCGCCGGUGAUGGCUACGCCAUCCACGGUGGUUGGCAAAAUAAAAAAGGGGCCUUUUUGAUCGCUUUACUACCUUCAACCCCGAUCUGAGACCAAAAUGCCCAAAAGCCUAGCAAAAUUCGAAAAAAAAUCAAAGGAACCUUUCGGUUCUGUCUUCUUUUGUCGCGACUGUUCGGCGAAUCCCCGAGGAUCCGUCGGUCUUUCAAAACGGAGGGAGAAGACAGCAGUGGCGGUAUAGGUAAAAAGGUUUCAUUUUUAUUUUUUAUAUAUAAAAAAAUAUAAAAUAUAAAAAGAUUUAAAAAAAAAGAUCUAUCUAUUCUAUUCUCUUUUAAAACUUCUUGUUUUUUAUUUUUCUUCCCCUCUUGAAUCUUACAAGAAAUGGAUCUUUAUAGCCGUUUGAGAUUACAACAUUUUCUUUUCUUUUUUGUUUCUGUGUUGGUACUGUUUCUUUGCUACUGUUUUUGCUAUUGUUGUCCUUUUUUCAUUCUUUUUGCAGGUGCCCUUGGAGCGUCAACGACGAGGCAAAAAGUAUCCCUUUCCAUUUUGGUGAAAUGGCGACAAAGGCGCAUCAGGUCUCGGGUGGCGUGUCGAUUCACGUGGAGGGUAACGGCACUGGAGGUUAGGGUUUUUUUAUUUUACUGAAACUUAGUUUAGACUAUUAGGCUUGGGCCAUUAGGUUUUUUUGGGGGGGGCUUGCAAUCUUAUAAUUUGACUGUUUUUAAUUUGGACUUUAAAAUUUUUAUUUUAUUUAAUUUAGUUUGGGUCCAGGCAAAAAUGACCUAUUACAACCUAAACAAUAUAUGUUGUGAUAGAAUUAAAUUGACAACCAUACAAUUCAAUGUUGACUAUCAUCAAG